UUGAGUACAAUGGCUGGGCUGUUUACGGUUGAGCUCAGUUCAGGCAAAACCAAGAAGGUUGCCAAAGUGAAAAUGGCUAAGAAUGUCACUCCUUGGUCAAGCUUCUACACUCAAGACCAUGCUAGGCGCAUGAUGCCACAGCCAUGACAAGGGUCAUCCAUCCAUCUAUCAAGCCAAGCAUGAACUGCCUGCCAUUUUGCAUGAGGAGUUCUGGAGCUGCAUGAGUAAUGGCCAAGUUUAUGUGGAGAAAUGUGGAGCCUUUUGGGGUAUGAUCUGAAGCAUGGAGCCUUUGACUUGGUUUCAGAGGAACACUUGCAAUCAGUUUGUUCCUUUUAGAGGAACGGUAGCUUUCUGGUCAGUUAAUCCAGUACUAGUGUGGCCAUAUAAUUAUGUGAAAGACUUUUACACUGUCAUGACGGUGUGACUAAAUGUUUGCACUAUGUGUGCUGUCACUGAGACUUGUUAAUUUGUGCUGUGACAACUGCAUGCUCGUCACAUGUAUGAAU
Molecule: long non-coding RNA, 506 nt
Organism: Lolium rigidum
Lineage: Eukaryota; Viridiplantae; Streptophyta; Magnoliopsida; Poales; Poaceae
Exons: 3
Source: RefSeq, a predicted model, not a curated record